Molecule: ribosomal RNA, 568 nt
Filed under: Papiliotrema terrestris
Lineage: Eukaryota; Fungi; Basidiomycota; Tremellomycetes; Tremellales; Rhynchogastremaceae
Description: eukaryotic LSU rRNA
Rfam family: Eukaryotic large subunit ribosomal RNA
Source: RNAcentral
CCGGGAAGAGCUCAAAUUUGAAAUCUGGCGUGCUCAGUGCGUCCGAGUUGUAAUCUAUAGAGGCGUUUUCCGUGCCGGACUGUGUCUAAGUCCCUUGGAACAGGGUAUCAAAGAGGGUGAUAAUCCCGUACUUGACACAAUGACCGGUGCUCUGUGAUACGUCUUCUACGAGUCGAGUUGUUUGGGAAUGCAGCUCAAAAUGGGUGGUGAGUUCCAUCUAAAGCUAAAUAUUGGCGAGAGACCGAUAGCGAACAAGUACCGUGAGGGAAAGAUGAAAAGCACUUUGGAAAGAGAGUUAAACAGUACGUGAAAUUGUUGAAAGGGAAACGAUUGAAGUCAGUCGUGACUGAGAGGCUCAGCCGGUUCUGCCGGUGUAUUCCCCUCAGUCGGGUCAACAUCAGUUUUGUUCGGUGGAUAAGGGCAGCUGGAAGGUGGCACCUCCGGGUGUGUUAUAGCCAGCUGUCGCAUACAUCGAAUGAGACUGAGGAAUGCAGCUCGCCUUUAUGGCCGGGGUUCGCCCACGUCCGAGCUUAGGAUGUUGACAUAAUGGCUUUAAACGACCCGUCUU